Molecule: ribosomal RNA, 917 nt
Filed under: Thyrostroma ulmicola
Lineage: Eukaryota; Fungi; Ascomycota; Dothideomycetes
Description: SSU rRNA
Rfam family: Eukaryotic small subunit ribosomal RNA
Source: RNAcentral
UUGGAUAACCGUGGUAAUUCUAGAGCUAAUACAUGCUAAAAACCCCAACUUCGGAAGGGGUGUAUUUAUUAGAUAAAAAACCAACGCCCUUCGGGGCUUCUUGGUGAUUCAUGAUAACUUCACGGAUCGCAUGGCCUUGCGCCGGCGACGGUUCAUUCAAAUUUCUGCCCUAUCAACUUUCGAUGGUAAGGUAUUGGCUUACCAUGGUUUCAACGGGUAACGGGGAAUUAGGGUUCGAUUCCGGAGAGGGAGCCUGAGAAACGGCUACCACAUCCAAGGAAGGCAGCAGGCGCGCAAAUUACCCAAUCCCGACACGGGGAGGUAGUGACAAUAAAUACUGAUACAGGGCUCUUUUGGGUCUUGUAAUUGGAAUGAGUACAAUUUAAACCUCUUAACGAGGAACAAUUGGAGGGCAAGUCUGGUGCCAGCAGCCGCGGUAAUUCCAGCUCCAAUAGCGUAUAUUAAAGUUGUUGCAGUUAAAAAGCUCGUAGUUGAAACUUGGGUCUGGCUGGCAGGUCCGCCUCACCGCGUGUACUUGUCCGGCCGGGCCUUUCCUUCUGGAGAACCUCAUGCCCUUCACUGGGCGUGUUGGGGAACCAGGACUUUUACUUUGAAAAAAUUAGAGUGUUCAAAGCAGGCCUUUGCUCGAAUACGUUAGCAUGGAAUAAUAGAAUAGGACGUGCGGUCCUAUUUUGUUGGUUUCUAGGACCGCCGUAAUGAUUAAUAGGGACAGUCGGGGGCAUCAGUAUUCAAUUGUCAGAGGUGAAAUUCUUGGAUUUAUUGAAGACUAACUACUGCGAAAGCAUUUGCCAAGGAUGUUUUCAUUAAUCAGUGAACGAAAGUUAGGGGAUCGAAGACGAUCAGAUACCGUCGUAGUCUUAACCGUAAACUAUGCCGACUAGGGAUCGGGCGAUGUU